UACGAAGGGGGCGAGCGUUGUUCGGAAUCACUGGGCGUAAAGGGCGCGUAGGCGGCCCUCCUUGUCGCGUGUGAAAGCCCCGGGCUCAACCUGGGAACGGCGCGCGAGACGGGGGGGCUGGAGUUCGGGAGAGGAGCGUGGAAUUCCCAGUGUAGAGGUGAAAUUCGUAGAUAUUGGGAAGAACACCGGGUGGCGAAGGCGGCGCUCUGGACCGAGACUGACGCUGAGGCGCGAAAGCCAGGGGAGCAAACGGG
Molecule: ribosomal RNA, 254 nt
Filed under: uncultured bacterium
Lineage: Bacteria
Description: partial 16S ribosomal RNA
Rfam family: Bacterial small subunit ribosomal RNA
Source: RNAcentral